GAUGAACGCUGGCGGCGUGCCUAAUACAUGCGAGUCGAGCGAACAGACGAGGAGCUUGCUCCUCUGACGUUAGCGGCGGACGGGUGAGUAACACGUGGAUAACCUACCUAUAAGACUGGGAUAACUUCGGGAAACCGGAGCUAAUACCGGAUAAUAUAUUGAACCGCAUGGUUCAAUAGUGAAAGACGGUUUUGCUGUCACUUAUAGAUGGAUCCGCGCCGCAUUAGCUAGUUGGUAAGGUAACGGCUUACCAAGGCAACGAUGCGUAGCCGACCUGAGAGGGUGAUCGGCCACACUGGAACUGAGACACGGUCCAGACUCCUACGGGAGGCAGCAGUAGGGAAUCUUCCGCAAUGGGCGAAAGCUUGACGGAGCAACGCCGCGUGAGUGAUGAAGGUCUUCGGAUCGUAAAACUCUGUUAUUAGGGAAGAACAAACGUGUAAGUAACUAUGCACGUCUUGACGGUACCUAAUCAGAAAGCCACGGCUAACUACGUG
Molecule: ribosomal RNA, 497 nt
Filed under: uncultured bacterium
Lineage: Bacteria
Description: partial 16S ribosomal RNA
Rfam family: Bacterial small subunit ribosomal RNA
Source: RNAcentral